GCUGGGUGUGGCGGCGUGUGCCUGUAGUCCCAGCUACUUGGGAGGCUGAGGCAGGAGGAUCACUUGAGCCCAGGAGUUCAAGGCUGCAGUGAGCUAAGAUCAUACCACUGCACUCCAGCCUGGGUAACAGAGUGAGAUUCUGUCUCAC
This 148-nucleotide signal recognition particle RNA is filed under the name Homo sapiens (human). RNAcentral's name for it is "Metazoan signal recognition particle RNA". It matches the Rfam family "Metazoan signal recognition particle RNA". From Rfam's summary of the family: The signal recognition particle (SRP) is a universally conserved ribonucleoprotein. It is involved in the co-translational targeting of proteins to membranes. The record is from Rfam by way of RNAcentral. Lineage: Eukaryota; Metazoa; Chordata; Mammalia; Primates; Hominidae.